This 499-nucleotide ribosomal RNA is filed under the name uncultured bacterium. RNAcentral describes it as "bacterial SSU rRNA". It matches the Rfam family "Bacterial small subunit ribosomal RNA", at positions 30 to 524 of the family's 1533-position model. The record is from RNAcentral.
AUUGAACGCUGGCGGUAUGCUUAACACAUGCAAGUCGAACGGUAACAGGCCUUCGGGCGCUGACGAGUGGCGGACGGGUGAGUAACGCGUAGGAAUCUGCCUCAUAGUGGGGGACAACGUGGGGAAACUCACGCUAAUACCGCAUACGCCCUACGGGGAAAGCGGGGGACCUUCGGGCCUCGCGCUAUGAGAUGAGCCUGCGUUAGAUUAGCUAGUUGGUAGGGUAAAGGCCUACCAAGGCGACGAUCUAUAGCUGGUCUGAGAGGACGAUCAGCCACACUGGGACUGAGACACGGCCCAGACUCCUACGGGAGGCAGCAGUGGGGAAUAUUGGACAAUGGGCGCAAGCCUGAUCCAGCAAUACCGCGUGUGUGAAGAAGGCCUUAGGGUUGUAAAGCACUUUCAAUGGGGAGAAGUACCUAGGCGGUUAAUACCUGUCAGACUGACAUUACCCAUACAAGAAGCACCGGCUAACUCCGUGCCACGCAGCCGCGGUAAU